Molecule: ribosomal RNA, 427 nt
Filed under: uncultured bacterium
Lineage: Bacteria
Description: bacterial SSU rRNA
Rfam family: Bacterial small subunit ribosomal RNA
Source: RNAcentral
UGGGGAAUCUUCCGCAAUGGGCGAAAGCCUGACGGAGCAACGCCGCGUGAGUGAUGACGGCCUUCGGGUUGUAAAACUCUGUGAUCCGGGACGAAAAGGCAGAGUGCGAAGAACAAACUGCAUUGACGGUACCGGAAAAGCAAGCCACGGCUAACUACGUGCCAGCAGCCGCGGUAAUACGUAGGUGGCAAGCGUUGUCCGGAAUUAUUGGGCGUAAAGCGCGCGCAGGCGGCUUCCCAAGUCCCUCUUAAAAGUGCGGGGCUUAACCCCGUGAUGGGAAGGAAACUGGGAAGCUGGAGUAUCGGAGAGGAAAGUGGAAUUCCUAGUGUAGCGGUGAAAUGCGUAGAGAUUAGGAAGAACACCGGUGGCGAAGGCGACUUUCUGGACGAAAACUGACGCUGAGGCGCGAAAGCGUGGGGAGCAAACA